Long non-coding RNA from Oncorhynchus keta (chum salmon), 587 nucleotides. RefSeq lists it as uncharacterized. The record is from RefSeq and is a predicted model, not a curated record. The transcript has 3 exons. NCBI's taxonomy places the organism in Eukaryota, Metazoa, Chordata, Actinopteri, Salmoniformes, Salmonidae.
GGGUAGCCUAGUGGUUAGAGUGGAGGGGCGGCAGGGUAGCCUAGUGGUUAGAGUGGAGGGGCGGCAGCGUAGCCUAGUGGUUAGAGGUGAGGGGCGGCAGGGCAGCCUAGUGGUUAGAGUGGAGGGGCGGCAGGGUAGCCUAGUGGUUAGAGUGGAGGGGCGGCAGGGUAGCCUAGUGGUUAGAGUGGAGGGGCGGCAGGGUAGCCUAGUGGUUAGAGGGGAGGGGCGGCAGGGUAGCCUAGUGGUUAGAGAGGAGGGGCGGCAGGGUAGCCUAGUGGUUAGAGUGGAGGGGCGGCAGGGUAGCCUAGUGGUUAGAGGUGAGGGGCGGCAGGGUAACCUAGUGGUUAGAGGUGAGGGGCGGCAGGGUAACCUAGUGGUUAGAUUGGAGGGGUGGCAGGGUAGCCUAGUGGUUAGAGUGGAGGGGUGGCAGGGUAGCCUAGUGGUUAGAGUGGAGGGGCGGCAGGGUAGCCUAGUGGUUAGAGUGGAGGGGUGGCAGGGUAACCUAGUGGUUAGAGGUGAGGGGCGGCAGGGUAACCUAGUGGUUAGAGUGGAGGGGCGGCAGGGUAACCUAGUGGUUAGAGUGGAGG